Molecule: small nuclear RNA, 139 nt
Filed under: Myotis lucifugus (little brown bat)
Lineage: Eukaryota; Metazoa; Chordata; Mammalia; Chiroptera; Vespertilionidae
Description: U2 spliceosomal RNA (ENSMLUG00000020671.1)
Rfam family: U2 spliceosomal RNA (bases 1-103)
About the family: U2 is a small nuclear RNA (snRNA) component of the spliceosome (involved in pre-mRNA splicing). Complementary binding between U2 snRNA (in an area lying towards the 5' end but 3' to hairpin I) and the branchpoint sequence (BPS) of the intron results the bulging out of an unpaired adenosine, on the BPS, which initiates a nucleophilic attack at the intronic 5' splice site, thus starting the first of two transesterification reactions that mediate splicing.
Source: RNAcentral
AUCACUUCUUGGCCUUUUGGCUAAGAUCAAGUGUAGUAUCUGUUCUUAUCAGUUUAAAAAGAUGGCUAUAUGACAAUGGAGACAGAGGUUGGAGUCAUGCAUCUAGAAGCCAAGAAAUACCAGGAUUGCCAGAAAACAC